CCCAAUUGAACCUUCGGUUGAUUAACUCGUGAAAGACAACAUGCCCUUCUGAGCCUAAGUCGAAAUAACAAGAGUUACCGAGAUCAAGGUACGCUUUCUUGAUUGCCUUUAGUGUUUCUGAGUUCUCGUUGUCUGAAUAAUCGAUUACCCCUCUCCAUGCACAAUAACCCGAAUAUCUAUAAUGAAAAAGAUGGUUUAUCUCAAACUUAUUCAGAAUCGAAUAUGUUAGAAUAGAAAAGUAGAAAAAGCUAGAAUACAAUUAGCCACAACAAAACAUCUACAGCUAAACCUCUAUAAAUUAAUACAGUCGGGACUAGGGAAAUUCUAUUAAUUUAGUGAAUUAUUAACUUAUCGAGUUAAUAAUUUAACAUGUUUUCACCGAGUCGAGUUUAUUAAUUUAUCGAGGUUCUACUGUAAUUAGCAAAGACUUGUUUAUAUAGUUGGUUUGAUAUAAUACCUGAGUUUGUGAUCAGGGAGAAAAUGUUUUCGUAUAGGAGAGAGGCUACCAUCAGCUGCGACAAGAAGAUCGGCAACUAUCUCGACAGUUUCGUCGGUUUGAAGAAGCUUAGCUACCACUUUGACCGAACUUUUAUCUUCAGAAAUGGACAAGGAUAAGAAGAAGUGUCCCCACAAGAGAACAACCUCCGGC
This 649-nucleotide long non-coding RNA is filed under the name Erythranthe guttata (spotted monkey flower). Its description in RNAcentral is "long non-coding RNA (EGUT_LNC003370)". Lineage: Eukaryota; Viridiplantae; Streptophyta; Magnoliopsida; Lamiales; Phrymaceae. The record is from RNAcentral.